UUGAAACCCAAAGGACUUGACGGUGCUUUAGAUCCACCUAGAGGAGCCUGUUCUAGAACCGAUAAUCCCCGUUAAACCUCACCUUUCCUUGCCCUGUCAGCCUAUAUACCGCCGUCGUCAGUUUACUCUGUGAAGAUUCUGAAGUAAGCACAAUCGGUACAACCCAAAACGCCAGGUCGAGGUGUAGCCAAUGGAAAGGGAAGAAAUGGGCUACAUUCAAUAGAAAAUAAUGAAUACGGAUGAUAUUUUGAAAAUAGAUAUCUGAAGGAGGAUUUAGCAGUAAGUAGAGAAUAGAGCGCUCUACUGAAAUUGGCCCUGAAGCGCGUACACACCGCCCGUCACUCUCCCCGAGCUAAAAAAACACAUUUCUAAUAAGCAAAACCUGCAAAGGGGAGGCAAGUCGUAACAUGGUAAGUGUACCGGAAGGUGCACUUGGAAAAACUCUGGGCAUAGUUUAACAAUAAAACAUCUCCCUUACACCGAGAAAAUAUCCGUGCAAAUCGGGUUUCCCAGAAACCUAAUAGCUAGCCCAACUAUCUAAAACCAAUUGAUCACCUUAAAUAAUCCAACAAAGACUAAAUUAACAAAACAAACCAUUUUUCCAUCUAAGUAUAGGAGAUAGAAAAGAACCUAGGCGCAAUAGAGAAAGUACCGUGAGGGAAGGCU
Molecule: ribosomal RNA, 666 nt
Filed under: Halichoeres ornatissimus (ornamented wrasse)
Lineage: Eukaryota; Metazoa; Chordata; Actinopteri; Labriformes; Labridae
Description: partial 12S ribosomal RNA
Rfam family: Bacterial small subunit ribosomal RNA (bases 1-448)
Source: RNAcentral